AAGAAGAGCUGAGUACUCUGGGAUAUUUCAAACUGGUUCCUUUUUCCCCUCACUCUGCUGGAAGCUGGAGAAGAUUUUUCUCCAAUAUUUUCUUAGGGAACCUGGUCAAGGUCUAGAAGGUAAAUCUCACCCUAUUGUGGGGUCCCCCUAUGAAUCAGUCUCUGUGGAGUUUUUGACUCUCAGACUUGUCUGGGCUGAGCCUCCAGUAAUUUGUCAGUUGGAGUUCCCGGUUUCCUGCCCGGCUUUUGGUCCCCAAGGGUGCUGCGCACUGUGCCUGGUACAUAAAUAAGAAGAAUACUUUCAAUCAAUGACUUUGUUGCCACCUUCACCUGCCCAGAGGAGAGGAGGACUUCCUGAGUGCAAACAUAUUUUGUGGGGCCUUUGUUGAAAAAAAAAAAAAAACAAUGGAAAGAAUGGAAUACUUGGAAAACACAUAUUUUAAACGGUUGGACAAAGAUAGCUGGUGCAUUUUUUUCUUCCUGCCAAGCCGUUUCCAUUUAGGAUUCAACAAAACCACAGUUCGACAUUGGAUUUAGAACCAAAUUUUCAAAGAAACACAUUGCCGGGGAACAUGCGCGGGAUUCCCACUGAUAAUCGCAUAAAACACGAAAGGAUGGAAUCUGACUGCCCAGUAUGGUUUCUCCUUCUGGCAUAUCAGGCUUAACGGACCUGAGCAGAACGUAGGGAAGUGAAUGUGCUGUGCGGUAUCAUCUUCUCUGUGGCCCCAUGUGCAGUAUCAAUGAAUCUGGACUAACAUGUGGUGCAUUCUUCAGGCCAGAUGCAGGAGAGAGGAGCAUUUAGCCCUUGAUUUGAAAAUGACAAAUGGACAAGGAAAAGCAAGCUUGCUGCAAACAAGGAUGUUCCUCCGUUCCAUGUAUCGACACAAAACUACCCAGUGAUUCUUCACAGUGCCCUCAUUUAAUGACUGCAAUAGCAAAUCCUUUUCUGUUACAAAGUCCAAAAGAAAUUCAGAAGUUGGUUUUUCCCUAGAUUCUCCGUGGUUUCUGCAGCACCACGGGGCCUUCUGUUGCUGCAUUUGUGGUGGUUUCAUCAGACUGAGAUGGUGGCCCGAGGGGUGGCGGGAAGUUCUCCGCCUGCAGGCACUGCCGGGCCGCACCUGUCCUCUGUGCCCGCAGCUCACUGCGUUUUUUGGCAUAAUCAACUGCUCUUUAGUGGCCCUUGGAGGAGUGGAUGCUGAAACCCCCAACCAGUCAUUUUGCUUCUGGAUGAUGUUGAUUCUGUAACUUGCAACCAGUGCCAGAGCUCAGGGGAGGGCCUUCCUUCCCCAGCCCACCACUCCACUAUUCCAGGGCCAUAGCCUCGAGCUCCAGAUUGCAAAGAUGCUCAUGAGAGAGUUUUAAGGUAACCACUUCUUUUCACAGAUGGUCCACAUCAGAUGUAGCUCAGGUUUACAGUUGAUUGAGAGAGAUUUGCAGAUAAGAGCAAAGCCAGGAACUGCAACCAGAUGCCAUUGCCCUAGAGGUCCCAGGUACAGCCCCAGGGUGACUGGCCACAUGGCCUUGGCUGAGGGUCCUAGACCGGAGUGAUGCUUAGCACCCGAGAGCCUCCCAGCCCAGUGCAUUGAUGUCUCUAAUUCUUCCUCAGUGUUUAUUCAGUUGUAAACUCUGUACUCUUAUUUGAGCAACCGUUAUACUUGUUCUCAGGAAACCAAAAACCAAAAGGGGAAGGUCCUGGUACUAAUAAAAAAAAAUCACUGUUGAAAUGUAUAAUUGUUAUUUUGGCAAAACUAUGAAGAAUAAAAUGAUUCUGUUUGUGACAACCUAGUUCAUCUAUUCUCUCAUUUUGAGUUUAUAAUUCUGGCUUGAAGUCCCAGAUCACUGUUCCCUGCCAAAAUGUACAGUCUCUGUGCCUGAAUAGCUCAGAAUAGAUUGUUCAGUAUAAAGGAGAAUUCCCUUGUUCCAUCCAAAGGAUUAUAAGGCCGUGGUGUGCAUCUUGCUGCUGAGCUUGAGAUCCUGAAAAGUCGGUUUUGGUUUGCUGUGACUUAUCUGAGGUUUUCCCUGCCUCCAAGCUCCACCCUUACUUGUGCACGUCCUCAGAAGGGACUGUUUUAGGAGACUGCACAUGCCGUGAACACAGCAUGGGAUGGGCUUGUCUCGCAGCCCCUGGGCAUCCUGACAUCCGCAGAGAAGACUGUUCUGGAAUUGCUUGAGUAGAUUUAUUGAAUUAGGUUCUGAUUUCUUGAUGAAGGACCUCAUCUGUAUUGUAUUUGCCAUAAGCAAUGCAACUGAUACCCUUUGGACACACCCACAGACUCGAGGCUGUGUGAUAGUGGCUUUUAGGGGAGUCAGGAUUGAAAUAUCACAUUUGUCCCUGAGGCAUACCUGAUCCCAAGCUCUUGGCGCAGAGUUCGAUUAAUCUACUCAAGAUAGAGGUGGUGGCCAGGGCCCUGCAGUCACUUGUGGACCACUGUGGGCAACCUGAAGCCAUAAGCCAAGAUGCAGCCAUUUGUCUUUGUUUAUAAUUUCUCAUCUGAGCUUAUA
Molecule: long non-coding RNA, 2501 nt
Organism: Equus caballus (horse)
Lineage: Eukaryota; Metazoa; Chordata; Mammalia; Perissodactyla; Equidae
Source: Ensembl